Molecule: long non-coding RNA, 1022 nt
Filed under: Oryzias javanicus (javanese ricefish)
Lineage: Eukaryota; Metazoa; Chordata; Actinopteri; Beloniformes; Adrianichthyidae
Description: lncRNA (ENSOJAG00000004696.1)
Source: RNAcentral
CCUGGCCCGAUCCCUGCUCCGUGCCGUGGCCUGAGAUUAGUCACAGCUCAGGCCUGUGAGCCAGGAAAAUGGCUUUACUUUGCAACAAGCUGUAAGCUAAUUAUUCCCUAGCUGGUUUAAUUGGGUAGCCGUGUUAUAGAGGGAAUUUAAAAUGAGCGGAGGGAGAAAAUAGACCAGGAAAGUCAAGUAACAAAACUUUUCUGUUACUUUUGGGCGAGGUAGGUGGAGAUCCACACACUGAAGUCAACUUCGAAGUCAAUCAUUUCUACUCACCCGGAGUUGUAGCUUCGCUGGGAAAACCUAUGCUCGGUCAGAGACCACUACACCGCCAUACAGUCCAAAAGCCCGAUCCUUCCGCCGAGCCCAACCGCCCGGGUUUGAACGCUGACACCGCGGGGGGGUUUCGCAGUCGUCGGAGGAUUCUUUCCCUGCUCGGAGUUCUUACCAUGGGCGGAGGAGCAAAGUAGAGCAGGGAGUUCCUGUCCCUGAAACAGGGAAACUCAACAGGAAACUGCGCUCUCAGCUGCGGUUCAGGCCUCCUCCGCUAGGGCGGGAGCGCGCGCCCAGGAUAGAAGCACCCUUACUUCCAAGCUCCGGCCUGCCAUCGAUCAGAGAAAAUCAGAACCAGGUUGAGAACCUUCAUGAUGGCCUCCUUCACAAAACUGACCUGAGGAAACACGAGAGGUCGAGUCGAUCCGGAAAACCAGAAGGAGCUGUGAGAAAAGCUGCCGCUCAUUUACCUUCUCUCUCAGCAGGCAGCGAUCGUGGAUCGUUGCCAGAUACCUGUAGUGGAUCUUAAUCAGCUGGUCCAAGUCCUUCGCCUCCUGAACUUGGUGCUGAAACUCAAGUCCGGUGCUGUGCAGGAUCUGUUACAGAAACCACGAAAUGGGUUGGCCUUUAAAUCAGAAGUGACUCAUCGGUUUUCCAUCAGCUGACUACUUCUAAAUGACUCUUCAGGGGCCUCAAAAGUAGGCGAAAUUUGUGAAGUAGUCAUCAGCAACUUUUUGAUGAGCAAAAAAAAA